UUUUAUGAGAGUUUGAUCCUGGCUCAGGACGAACGCUGGCGGCGUGCCUAAUACAUGCAAGUCGAGCGGAUGAAGGGGAGC
This 81-nucleotide ribosomal RNA is filed under the name Bacillus norwichensis. RNAcentral describes it as "Bacillus sp. Sa1BUA2 partial 16S ribosomal RNA". It matches the Rfam family "Bacterial small subunit ribosomal RNA", at positions 1 to 81 of the family's 1533-position model. Lineage: Bacteria; Bacillati; Bacillota; Bacilli; Caryophanales; Bacillaceae. The record is from RNAcentral.